This 244-nucleotide ribosomal RNA is filed under the name uncultured bacterium. Its description in RNAcentral is "partial 16S ribosomal RNA". It matches the Rfam family "Bacterial small subunit ribosomal RNA", at positions 15 to 263 of the family's 1533-position model. The record is from RNAcentral.
GAUCAUGGCUCAGAUUGAACGCUAGCGGGAUGCCUUACACAUGCAAGUCGAACGGCAGCACGGACUUCGGUCUGGUGGCGAGUGGCGAACGGGUGAGUAAUGUAUCGGAACGUGCCCAGUAGCGGGGGAUAACUACGCGAAAGCGUAGCUAAUACCGCAUACGCCUACGGGGAAAGCAGGGGAUCGCAAGACCUUGCACUAUUGGAGCGGCCGAUAUCGGAUUAGCUAGUUGGUGGGGUAACGG